AAACAAACGACAUUCAAAGUAAAAAAAUCCCCUUUAAAGUCGCUAGACUCAACCAUUUUCAAGCAACUAAGUCACCUACCAAAUCACAUUCAAAACAAAAAAUCCUCUUAAAGUUCCUACACUUCACCAUUUUCAAGUGACUACGUAUCAAAACAAAACCACAUUCAAAACCAAAAAAUCUCCUUUAAAAUUCCUACAUUUAACCAUAUUCAAGUGACUAAGUCACCAAACAAAC
This 235-nucleotide long non-coding RNA is filed under the name Capsicum annuum. RNAcentral describes it as "long non-coding RNA (CANN_LNC005988)". The record is from RNAcentral. Lineage: Eukaryota; Viridiplantae; Streptophyta; Magnoliopsida; Solanales; Solanaceae.